Molecule: transfer RNA, 82 nt
Filed under: Pleurosigma intermedium
Lineage: Eukaryota; Bacillariophyta; Bacillariophyceae; Naviculales; Pleurosigmataceae
Description: tRNA-Tyr
Rfam family: tRNA
About the family: Transfer RNA (tRNA) molecules are approximately 80 nucleotides in length. Their secondary structure includes four short double-helical elements and three loops (D, anti-codon, and T loops). Further hydrogen bonds mediate the characteristic L-shaped molecular structure. tRNAs have two regions of fundamental functional importance: the anti-codon, which is responsible for specific mRNA codon recognition, and the 3' end, to which the tRNAs corresponding amino acid is attached (by aminoacyl-tRNA synthetases). tRNAs cope with the degeneracy of the genetic code in two manners: having more than one tRNA (with a specific anti-codon) for a particular amino acid; and 'wobble' base-pairing, i.e. permitting non-standard base-pairing at the 3rd anti-codon position.
Source: RNAcentral
GGGUCAGUGCCCGAGUGGUUAAAGGGGGCGGAUUGUAAAUCCGUUGCGUUUUGCUACGUUGGUUCGAAUCCAACCUGACCCA